This 439-nucleotide ribosomal RNA is filed under the name uncultured bacterium. RNAcentral describes it as "partial 16S ribosomal RNA". It matches the Rfam family "Bacterial small subunit ribosomal RNA", at positions 339 to 795 of the family's 1533-position model. The record is from RNAcentral.
CUACGGGGUGCAGCAGUGGGGAAUAUUGCACAAUGGGGGAAACCCUGAUGCAGCGACGCCGCGUGAGUGAAGAAGUAUCUCGGUAUGUAAAGCUCUAUCAGCAGGGAAGAUAAUGACAGUACCUGACUAAGAAGCCCCGGCUAACUACGUGCCAGCAGCCGCGGUAAUACGUAGGGGGCAAGCGUUAUCCGGAUUUACUGGGUGUAAAGGGAGCGCAGGUGGUUCGGCAAGUCAGAUGUGAAAGCCCGGGGCUCAACCUCGGGACUGCAUUUGAAACUGUCGGACUAGAGUGCAGGAGAGGUAAGUGGAAUUCCUAGUGUAGCGGUGAAAUGCGUAGAUAUUAGGAGGAACACCAGUGGCGAAGGCGACUUACUGGACUGUAACUGACACUGAGGCUCGAAAGCGUGGGGAGCAAACAGGAUUAGAUACCCCUGUAGUC